CUGGCGGCAUGCUUAACACAUGCAAGUCGAACGAGUUCGAAGAGUGAAUUUAUUCACUUUUCGACGAGUGGCGAACGGGUGAGUAACGCGUAGGAAUCUGCCCUAAAGAGGGGGAUAACCCGAGGAAACUCGGGCUAAUACCGCAUAAGCUCUACGGAGUAAAGCAGGGGAUCUUCGGACCUUGCACUUUAGGAUGAGCCUGCGUCGGAUUAGUUUGUUGGUGGGGUAAAGGCCUACCAAGACUACGAUCCGUAGCUGGUUUGAGAGAACGAUCAGCCACACUGGGACUGAGACACGGCCCAGACUCCUACGGGAGGCAGCAGUGGGGAAUAUUGGACAAUGGGCGAAAGCCUGAUCCAGCAAUGCCGCGUGUGUGAAGAAGGCCUGCGGGUUGUAAAGCACUUUCAAUAGGAAAGAAAUGCUCAAGGCUAAUAUCCUUGAGAGAUGACGUUACCUAUACAAGAAGCACCGGCUAACUCUGUGCCAGCAGCCGCGGUAAUACAGAGGGUGCAAGCGUUAAUCGGAGUUACUGGGCGUAAAGCGUACGUAGGUGGAUGCUUAAGUCUGAUGUGAAAUCCCUGGGCUUAACCUAGGAAUUGCAUCAGAUACUGGGUAUCUAGAGUAUAGUAGAGGGAGGUGGAAUUUCCGGUGUAGCGGUGAAAUGCGUAGAUAUCGGAAGGAACAUUAGUGGCGAAGGCGGCCUCCUGGACUGAAACUGACACUGAGGUACGAAAGCGUGGGGAGCAAACAGGAUUAGAGACCCUGGUAGUCCACGCCGUAAACGAUGAGAACUAGGCGUUACCCCUGCUUGCAGAGGUAGUGCCGAAGCUAACGCGUUAAGUUCUCCGCCUGGGGAGUACGGUCGCAAGAUUAAAACUCAAAGGAAUUGACGGGGACCCGCACAAGCGGUGGAGCAUGUGGUUUAAUUCGAUGCAACGCGAAGAACCUUACCUACCCUUGACAUCCUUGGAAUCCUCUAGAGGUAGAGGAGUACCUUCGGGGACCAAGUGACAGGUGCUGCAUGGCUGUCGUCAGCUCGUGUCGUGAGAUGUUGGGUUAAGUCCCGUAACGAGCGCAACCCCUGUCCUUAGUUGCCAGCACAUUAUGGUGGGCACUCUAAGGAGACUGCCGGUGAUAAACCGGAGGAAGGUGGGGACGAGGUCAAGUCAUCAUGGCCCUUACGGGUAGGGCUACACACGUGCUACAAUGGGAAGUACAGAGGGUUGCCAAGCCGUGAGGUGGAGCUAAUCCCAGAAAGCUUUUCGUAGUCCGGAUUGAAGUCUGCAAUUCGACUUCAUGAAG
RNAcentral lists this ribosomal RNA (1302 nucleotides) under metagenome. RNAcentral's name for it is "bacterial SSU rRNA". It matches the Rfam family "Bacterial small subunit ribosomal RNA", at positions 36 to 1325 of the family's 1533-position model. The record is from RNAcentral.